GGGGGCGUAGCUCAGCUGGGAGAGCGCAGCGUUCGCAACGCUGAGGUCGAGAGUUCAAUCCUCUUCGCCUCCACCA
Molecule: transfer RNA, 76 nt
Filed under: Deltaproteobacteria bacterium
Lineage: Bacteria; Pseudomonadati; Myxococcota; Myxococcia
Also listed under: 1 other name
Description: tRNA-Ala
Rfam family: tRNA
About the family: Transfer RNA (tRNA) molecules are approximately 80 nucleotides in length.
Source: RNAcentral